Molecule: ribosomal RNA, 561 nt
Filed under: uncultured bacterium
Lineage: Bacteria
Description: bacterial SSU rRNA
Rfam family: Bacterial small subunit ribosomal RNA
Source: RNAcentral
GGAUUGGAAAUGGGCGCAGCCUGAUCCAGCCAUCCCGCGUGAGNGAAGAAGGCCUUCGGGUUGUCAAGCUCUUUCGGCUGGGACGAAAAGGUCCGUGCUAACACCACGGAUCAAUGACGGUACCAGCAGAAGAAGCACCGGCUAACUACGUGCCAGCAGCCGCGGUAAUACGUAGGGUGCAGGCGUUAAUCGGAAUUACUGGGCGUAAAGCGUGCGCAGGCGGUUUGCUAAGACAGGUGUGAAAUCCCCGGGCUUAACCUGGGAACUGCGCUCGUAACUGGCAAGCUUGAGUGUGGCAGAGGGGGGUGGAAUUCCACGUGUAGCAGUGAGAUGCGUAGAGAUGUGGAGGAACACCGAUGGCGAAGGCAGCCCCCUGGGCUAACACUGACGCUCAUGCACGAAAGCGUGGGGAGCAAACAGGAUUAGAUACCCUGGUAGUCCACGCCCUAAACUAUGUCAACUGGUUGUCGGGGAAGCAAUUCCUUGGUAACGAAGCUAACGCGUGAAGUUGACCGCCUGGGGAGUACGGCCGCAAGGUUAAAACUCAAAGAAAUUGACGGA